GUUGAACGCUGGCGGCGUGCCUAAUACAUGCAAGUCGAGCGAACGGACGAGAAGCUUGCUUCUCUGAUGUUAGCGGCGGACGGGUGAGUAACACGUGGAUAACCUACCGAUAAGACUGGGAUAAGGUCGGGAAACCGGAUCUAAUACCGGAUAAUAUUUUGAACCGCAUGGUUCAAAAGUGAAAGACGGUCUUGCUGUCACUUAUAGAUGGAUCCGCGCUGCAUUAGCUAGUUGGUAAGGUAACGGCUUACCAAGGCAACGAUGCAUAGCCGACCUGAGAGGGUGAUCGGCCACACUGGAACUGAGACACGGUCCAGACUCCUACGGGAGGCAGCAGUAGGGAAUCUUCCGCAAUGGGCGAAAGCCUGACGGAGCAACGCCGCGUGAGUGAUGAAGGUCUUCGGAUCGUAAAACUCUGUUAUUAGGGAAGAACAUAUGUGUAAGUAACUGUGCCCAUCUUGACGGUACCUACUCAGAAAGCCCCGGCUAACUACGUG
RNAcentral lists this ribosomal RNA (497 nucleotides) under uncultured bacterium. RNAcentral describes it as "partial 16S ribosomal RNA". It matches the Rfam family "Bacterial small subunit ribosomal RNA", at positions 28 to 507 of the family's 1533-position model. The record is from RNAcentral.